UUUAAGCGUAGUUAUGAGUUUUUAUGUCCAACUUUGAUCGUCUAUCUUAUUUGAAUUUUUUUAUAAUUAGUAUUUUUAUUGUUAUUAGAUGAUAAAACAUGAAUAGUACUUUAUGCGUGACUUAUGUUUUUAAUUUUUUAAAAAAAAAUUCAAAUAACACGAAUGAUUAAUGUUGGCCACAGAAACUCAUGAGCUGCGUUUAAA
This is a non-coding RNA of Oryza glumipatula, 204 nucleotides long. The record is from Rfam. NCBI's taxonomy places the organism in Eukaryota, Viridiplantae, Streptophyta, Magnoliopsida, Poales, Poaceae.